Xyrichtys novacula (pearly razorfish) is the source of this 104-nucleotide non-coding RNA. The record is from the annotation of a GenBank genome assembly. Lineage: Eukaryota; Metazoa; Chordata; Actinopteri; Labriformes; Labridae.
ACCUGGUUAUAUCCUGAGACAUUACCUGGUUAUAACCUAGUUAUAUCCCGAGACAUUACCUGGGUAUAACCUGGUUAUAACCUGGUUAUAUCCUGAGACAUUAC